This 966-nucleotide ribosomal RNA is filed under the name uncultured bacterium. RNAcentral describes it as "bacterial SSU rRNA". It matches the Rfam family "Bacterial small subunit ribosomal RNA", at positions 555 to 1532 of the family's 1533-position model. The record is from RNAcentral.
UGGGUUUAAAGGGUGCUCAGGCGGGGGGUUAAGUCGGCGGUGAAAUUUUGCAGCUCAACUGUAAAAGUGCCUUCGAAACUGGUUCCCUUGAGUGCGGAUGAGGUAGGCGGAAUUUGUGGUGUAGCGGUGAAAUGCAUAGAUAUCACGAGGAACUCCGAUUGCGCAGGCAGCUUACCAAGCCGUAACUGACGCUCAAGCACGAAGGCGUGGGGAUCAAACAGGAUUAGAUACCCUGGUAGUCCACGCAGUAAACGAUGAUUACUGGCUGUUUGCGAUAUAAUGUAAGCGGCUGAGCGAAAGCGUUAAGUAAUCCACCUGGGGAGUACGUUCGCAAGAAUGAAACUCAAAGGAAUUGACGGGGGCCCGCACAAGCGGAGGAACAUGUGGUUUAAUUCGAUGAUACGCGAGGAACCUUACCCGGGCUUGAAAUGCAUCUGUCGUCCCGAGAGAUCGGGAUUUCCUUCGGGACAGAUGUGUAGGUGCUGCAUGGUUGUCGUCAGCUCGUGCCGUGAGGUGUCGGCUUAAGUGCCAUAACGAGCGCAACCCCUACCGUUAGUUGCCAUCAGGUCAAGCUGGGGACUCUAACGGGACUGCCAUCGUAAGGUGCGAGGAAGGUGGGGAUGACGUCAAAUCAGCACGGCCCUUACGUCCGGGGCGACACACGUGUUACAAUGGGUGGUACAAAGGGCAGCUACAUGGCGACAUGGUGCCAAUCUCCAAAACCACUCUCAGUUCGGAUCGGAGUCUGCAACUCGACUCCGUGAAGCUGGAUUCGCUAGUAAUCGCGCAUCAGCCACGGCGCGGUGAAUACGUUCCCGGGCCUUGUACACACCGCCCGUCAAGCCAUGGAAGCUGGGGGUGCCUGAAGUCCGUAACCGUCAAGGAGCGGCCUAGGGUAAAACCGGUGACUGGGGCUAAGUCGUAACAAGGUAGCCGUACCGGAAGGUGCGGCUGGAUCACCUCCUU